This 601-nucleotide ribosomal RNA is filed under the name uncultured soil bacterium. Its description in RNAcentral is "bacterial SSU rRNA". It matches the Rfam family "Bacterial small subunit ribosomal RNA", at positions 879 to 1482 of the family's 1533-position model. The record is from RNAcentral.
AGUACGUUCGCAAGACUGAAACUCAAAGGAAUUGACGGGGGCCCGCACAAGCAGCGGAGCAUGUGGUUUAAUUCGACGCAACGCGAAGAACCUUACCAGGACUUGACAUCCCUCGCUAUAGGCGGAAACGUCUAGUUCCCUUCGGGGACGAGGAGACAGGUGGUGCACGGUUGUCGUCAGCUCGUGUCGUGAGAUGUUGGGUUAAGUCCCGCAACGAGCGCAACCCCUAUCCUUAGUUGCCAGCGUAAAGACGGGCACUCUAGGGAGACUGCCGGUGUAAACCGGAGGAAGGCGGGGAUGACGUCAAAUCAUCAUGCCCCUUAUGUCCUGGGCUACACACGUGCUACAAUGGGCUGUACAAAGGGAAGCGAUACCGCGAGGAGGAGCAAAUCCCAUAAAACAGCUCUCAGUUCAGAUCGUAGGCUGCAACUCGCCUACGUGAAGAUGGAGUUGCUAGUAAUCGCCGGUCAGCAUACGGCGGUGAAUGCGUUCCCGGGCCUUGUACACACCGCCCGUCACACCACGAAAGUUGACAACACCCAACGUCGGUGAGCUAACCGCAAGGAGGCAACCGCCUAAGGUGGGGUUGAUGAUUGGGGUG